GGAGGCAGACCACCCUGCAUAUUUUUCACCUUUCCACCUCAACUUUAAACUUUGCUUAUUAUUUAAACCUUGUUAUAAAUUACAUCAUUUAAACCAUGUAACUUAAAAGGCCACAAAGUCAUCUACGUAGCCAAUGUCCCGAUGCCUGAGGAAGAUGCUCCUUCUUUUUUUUUUUUUAUUUAUUCAUUCAUUUAUUUAAGGACGCUCCUUCUUGAGAAGCCCCUGCUUCAGGUGUCCUGAUUCUGCCCCUUUCCUUCCUCUGACAGCCGCCUGCACUUGAUCCUGAAGCGACCUUAUCCCUUCUCUCGGCCUAAUCAAUUCACUAACUGUAUUCUGCGCUGAUUUGCCCUAAAGGCAAGGAUCUGACCUCAUCAGACUGAAGGUCACGAAGGAUGACCCCCUCCUGUUCUAUGGCUUUCUGGGCUUCUGAUAAUUCCAUUUUAUUUUAUUUUAUUUUUCCUAGGUUAUUUUGGAGACAGGGUUUCUCUGUGUAGCCCUGGCUGUCCUGAAACUCGCUCUGUAGACCAGGCUGGCCUCAAGCUCAGAGAUCCACCCUCUUCUGGCUCCGAAGUGCUGGGAUAAAGGAUUUAGGGAGUGUGUCCCCAUCAAUUAGCUGGCAAUUUCAUUUUAUUAAUAACGGGUUAAAGAUGGUUUCUUUGGCCCUCCUUGUUUUCCAUUCUUUUUUUUUUUUUUUAUUCUCUUCAGACUCAGGCUAAUGAUCUCGGCUGUUAGGUCAGCCAGCAUCUAAGUAACUCACCUUCAGAAGCUUCACCAGUGUGUUCCUUCAGGGAGACUCUGAGACGGAAGACUGAAGCUCAAACCACCAGAUGACAGCAGAUCAGACAGAGCAGUCUUUGUUUGUCCACAGCUUCAGUCACCUAAGGUCAGCUGUGGCCAGGAAACAGUAAAUGGAAAAUUCCAGAAAUCAUUCGUUGUCAAGUAGCCUAAAAUGGCCUUGAAGUCACUAUGGCAGCUGGAGAUGAUACUGAACUUUUGGUCUUGUUGCCUUUGCCUCCCAAGUGCUGGGAUUAUGGACAUGGGCCACGACACUCAGCUUGGUUUAAUUUCUUCCAGCCGUUGUAACACCCCACAUCAAAGGAAGAGACUUUUUCUAUGAUUAUUUGAAUAGAUUCAAAAGAAAAUUUUGACAAAAUCCAACACCUUUCAUAAAAAACAUUCAACAAAAGAAAGAUCUAAGAAAUUUCCUCUCAUCAUAAUGAACUGUAUGAAAAAGUGUCAGCUGAGACCAUAUUUGAUGAUGAAAGACUAGAUGUUUUUGCCCUAAGAUCAUCAACAACACAAGGACGCAUAUUCUCAGAACUUCUAGUCAGCAAUGUGCUAGAGGUCCCCGUCAUGAUAAUUCAUCACGGAAAGCACGGCUUUGCCUCAAAAAACCAAAAACAGCAAGCUGGGAAGAUGGCUAAUGAGUAAAGUGAUGGCUGAACAAUCGUGAGGACCCAGAUUCAGAUCCCCAUCACCCAUGUAAAAGCUCUGCUUAGCAGCAGCUAACUACAACCUUGGCGCUGGUGGUGGGGAGCAGAGGCAAGUGGGGCUGAGGGCUUACUGGCUGCUCAAUCCUGCUGACACAGUAAACUCCAGGUUCGUGGAGAGAACGCGUCUCAAAAACAAAUGGGGAAACUUGGAGCUUGAAAGACAGUUCAGCAGUUACGAACACUUGCACUCUUGCGGAGGGCCCAGGCUCACUUCCCAAGUACCCCCUGACGUGGCUUCUCACAACCAUCUGCCCCCCGUUUCUGCUGAGUGGACUCUAUGCCAGCUGAAUUGAUCUUACAGUAAAGUCUGAGGUAAGGACUCAAGCUCAUCCAUCCACAAGGGGAUAAUCUAUUGUACCAUUAGUUGCGACCAUAGUGGUUUCCCAUUCAAUUCUAUCAACACCAUUUUCACAAUCAUUGUGUAUAGGCACAUUGACUUACCUGAGUUCUUGUUUAUUUUAUAUUGAUGUCUGUCACCACCUUACACUAUCAUCACACUGUCUUGAUCACUGUUGUUUAAAGAACAGGAUUUGAAACUAGGAAGUAUGAGUUUCCUAACUUAGUUCUUCUUUUUCCAAACACUCAUCUCCUUUCAUGUUGACAUCAAGCUGCACCCUGUUCCAAGUUGGUAAGUUGGUUUGUGUUGCGUAAAACAGUAGGGUUUUUUUUUUUUGUCUGUACAAACUGCAUUUGACUCCAUUUUGUGGGCGCAUCAGAGGCAGAUGACUCUGCACCCUUUGGGCACAUAAGUAACGACGUCUAGUGGGAACCAUGAGGCAUAGAGACUGGUAGAUAACUCACCCGUCAAAGGGUGCCACCCUGUAACGGAGCAAAGUAACUUAAGCCCAUGGCUGUAUAAAAUCACAAUGGAAAACCAAAGCCGGGAGUGGUAGCUCCAUGGUCCCAGCACUUGGGAGGCAGAGGCAGGUGGAUCUCUGUGAGUCUGAGGCCAGCCUGGCCUACAAAACAAGUUCCAGGACAGCCAAGGCUAUGCAGGAAAAGCCUGUCUCAAAAAUGUUUUUCUGAAAACCAAGCUGAAGAGCUUCUCCAACACUCUGUACUGAAAUACAAGUGCAACACCUGGGCCAGGGAGACGAUGCCUCUGUUAAGAGCACUGACCUGGUUUAGUUCCCACAACCCACAAUGUGGCUCGUAGCCAUCUGUGGUUCCAGUUCUAGGAAAUCCAAUGCCCUCUUAUGGCUCCAGAAUACCAGACACGCACAUGGUACACAGGCAAAACAUCCACAGACUUUAAAAAAAAAUAAAAGUGUAAUACCGUUACCUGGAUACAUAGAAGACACCAAGCCCUGAAAUGGUGAUGGAUACCACGGAUCUGUGGUGUGCUUAUCUGAUGUGUGCGUCAAGGGACUGACAGACAACUCACAUCUGCCUCAGAGUUCCUGCUUGACUAAGUACCCAUUGUCGAUGUGGCCUGCUUGAAUUUCUGUUCAUUUAUCUAGACCUGGGUCUGUCUAUGGAAACUGGAGGAAGCUCUGCAUGAGUGAAGUCCUGAGUGAAUGUGCCUUGUUGAUGUGGGCACAGCCAUAACAAAUACUUGGACCCCUGGGAAAGUGGCAAAGGCAUUCUUCAUAUUGGCAAAGCCUUUUUUCUUAGGCUUUCUUAUUGCUAUGAUGAAACACCAUGACCAAAAGUAACCUGGGUUUAUUUGGCUUACACUUCCACAUCACUGCUCAUCAUUGAAGCAAGUCAAGCAGGGCAGGAGCCUGGAGGCCGGAGCUGAUGCAGGGGCCAUGAGGAGUGAUGCUCACUCACUUGCUCCUUGUAGCUUGUUCAGCUGCCUUCUUAGAAAACCCAGGACCACCAGCCCCGGAGUGGCACCACUCACAGUAGCCUGGGCCCUUCCACAUCCAUCACCAAUAAAGACAAUUCUCUACAGGCUUGCCUGUAGCCUGCUUUUUUUUGUUUUGUUUUGUUUGUUUUUCAAGACAGGAUUUCUCUGUGUAGCAACUCUGCCUGUCCUGAAACCUGGAACUCACUCUGUAGACCAGGCUGGCCUCAAACUCACAGAGAUGUGACUGCCUCUGCCACCCAAGUGCUGGAAUUAAAGACAUGCGCUACUACUACCCAGUCUGUAGCCUGAUUUUAUGCAAGCAUUUUUUCAAUUGAUGUUCCUUCAUCUUAGUUAACUAUAGCUUGUGUCAAAUUGAUGCAAAACCAGCCAGUACCUUUAGUAAAUUGUUGACCAGAGGCUUUGAUAAUUUAUUUCUUUUUGUUGUUGAUUUUUAGGGCAAAAACAUCUUGGUUUUCAUCAUCAAAUAUGGUCUCACCUGACAUUUUGUCUGUACACUUCAUUACCAUGAGAGGAAACUUCUUAGAUUUUUCUUUUAUUGAAUAUUUUUAUGAAAGGCGUUGGAUUUUGUCAAAAUUUUCUUUUGAAUAUAUUCAAAUAAUCACAGGAAAAAAUCUCUUUCUUUGGGCUGGAGAGAUGGCUCAGUGGUUAAGAGCAUUGCCUGCUCUUCCAAAGGUCCUGAGUUCAAUUCCUGGCAACCACAUGGUGACUCACAACCAUCUGUAAUGAAGUUUGGUGCUUUCUUCUGGCCUGCAGACAUACACAUAGACAGACCAUUGUAUACAUAAUAAAUAAAUAAAAAAAUUUUUUUUUUUAAAAAUCUCUUCCUUUGAUGUGGGGUGUUACAGUGGCUGGAAGAAGUUAAGCUAAGCUGAGUGUCGUGGCGCAUGCCCGUAAUGCCAGCACUUGGGAAACAGAGGCAACAAAACCAGAAGUUCAGUGCCAUCCCCAGCUGUCAUAGUGACUUCAAGGCCACUCCAGGCCACUUGAGAGUCUGUCUCAGAAGAAAAUAAACAAACCAUGAAAAAAGAAAGAUUUAACAACUUUUUAUUCCAGGGAUAUAUCCAAUCAAUAUGUAUAAUUUUUUUCUCUUUGCUGCCUUUGGUUUUGUCAGUAUUUGUCUUGGUAUCCUGGGUCUAUAUUCAUUAAAAGAC
Alexandromys fortis (reed vole) is the source of this 4457-nucleotide long non-coding RNA. RefSeq lists it as uncharacterized. The transcript has 3 exons. The record is from RefSeq and is a predicted model, not a curated record. NCBI's taxonomy places the organism in Eukaryota, Metazoa, Chordata, Mammalia, Rodentia, Cricetidae.